This 2094-nucleotide long non-coding RNA is filed under the name Salmo salar (Atlantic salmon). RNAcentral's name for it is "lncRNA (ENSSSAG00000100429.1)". The record is from RNAcentral. Lineage: Eukaryota; Metazoa; Chordata; Actinopteri; Salmoniformes; Salmonidae.
GAGAGAGUUCCAGUGGGAUGCGUCUCUCCCUUCCCAGGGAGUAUGAUUGAACGGCAGCACAGUGCCAGGGAUUCUUGUUACAACUGGACCUCUACCUGGUCACUGUGCACCCAGCUCCCUCAGGAGGGGAGAGAGUGGCCGCUCUCGUCUCCUGACUCACAGGAAGAGCGCUGGAGUGGGCAAACGCCAUGUGGAGAGAAGGAGACACGGCACCAGACCACUUCUGGAGGAGGAGCCAUCACGUGCGCCAUCUGUAGCCGUAGAAGACACACUGCCGGUCGGUGCCGUGUCGGUCCCCCUGGGAGUCGAGGUAGCAGGCAGGGCACUCUGGCGUCACCCCAGACCAGGUUCCCAGAAUAAGAAGGCAGACGCACUGUCCCGGCUGUAUGACACAGAGGAGCGGCCCAUGAAUCAGACUCCCAUACUCCCGGCCGCCUGCCUGGUAGCGCCGGCCAUGUGGGAUCUGGAUGCGGACAUUGAGCAGGCGUUGAGUACAAAGCCCGCUCCCCUCCAGUGUCCCAUUGGGCGUGUGUACGUUCCGUCUGCUGUCCGUGACCAGUUGAUCUCUUGGGCCCACACGUCUCCCUCCUCUGGUCAUCCGGGGAUCGGUCGGACGGUGCACUGUCUGACUGGGAAGUACUGGUGGCCCACUUUGGCUAAGGAUGUGAGGGUUUAUGUGUCCUCCUGCUCGGUGUGUGCCCAGUGUAAGGCUCCGAGACACCUGCCCAGAGGGAAAUACCAUGAUCCUGGUCGUUGUGGAUCGUUUUUCUAAGUCCUGUCGUCUCCUCCCUCUGCCUGCCUGGUCUCCCUACGGCCCUACAGACUGCGGAGGCCCUGUUUACACACGUCUUCCAGCACUACGGGGUGCCUGAGGAUAUAGUGUCGGAUCGGGGUCCCUAGUUCACGUCGAGAGUUUGGAAGGCGUUCAUGGAACGUCUGGGGGUCUCGAUUAGCCUUACCUCAGGUUUUCACCCUGAGAGUAACGGGCAGGUAGAGAGAGUCAACCAGGAUGUGGGCAGGUUUCUGCGGUCCUAUUGCCAGGACCAGCCGGGGGAGUGGGCAGUGUUUGUGCCCUGGGCCGAGAUGGCACAGAACUCUCUUCGCCACUCCUCCACUAACCUCUCCCCCUUCCAGUGCGUAUUGGGGUACCAGCCGGUUCUGGCACCAUGGCAUCAGGGUCAGACCGAGACUCUUGCGGUGGAGGACUGGUUUAGGCGCGCGGAGGAGACAUGGGAGGCCACCCGGUCAGCAAAGUGUACUGUGUUUGUACAGUACAACAUUUAUGCUGUGGGUACAGGUAUUUGGGAUUCUUUAAUGUUUUUUCAAAUUUCAUAACCUUUAUUUAACUAGGUAAGUCAGUUAAGAACAAAUUCUAAUUUACAAUGACGGCCUACACCGGCCAAACCCAGACAAUUGGCUGGGCCAAUUGUGCGCCACCCUAUGGGACUCGCAGUCACAGCCGAGAUACAGUCUGGAUUUGAACCAGGAUGUCUGUAGUGUCGUCUCUAGCGCUGAUACGCAGUGACUUAGACCACUACGCUACUCGGGAGCCCACAUAAAGUAACUCUACAUAAACCUAUAUGUCAUCGAUGCUAUGGAUUUGGGUUAUGCUCCUGUAUGUAUUGGUUUCUGUGUUCCUGGCGUGCAGCGUUUAUAGAUCUUGGCUGUCUGUCUGGGGGACUGUGGGCCCUCCGUCCAGCCUUGUAUGUGAUCACUCCCAUGGAGACUGUAGGAACUUCAUCACAAUGACAGACUCUACUCUCCAGCAAAACAUCUCCCAAAUGUGUUGCAGUGUUUUUAGAGCUUAGAUUGGUUAUUUGUGUAAUAAUUCUGUCAUUUCUAGCACAGGAAAUUGUUUGCUUUAUUUUCUACAUAGUUAUAAGUAGAAAAUACAUAGUUUGUUGUGACCUUUUACUUUUAAAUUAGUCUAAUUUCUGUGAAAUAUGUGCCCUCCAAAUGUUUGCUCUAAUUGUCACGACUUCCAUCGGGCGGUGCUCGGCGGUCGUCGUCGCCGGCCUACUAGCUGCCACCGAUCCAUUUUUCCUUUUCGUCUGUCUGUUUUGUCACACCUGUGUUUAAUUUAGUUGAUUUCGG